RNAcentral lists this ribosomal RNA (361 nucleotides) under uncultured bacterium. RNAcentral's name for it is "bacterial SSU rRNA". It matches the Rfam family "Bacterial small subunit ribosomal RNA", at positions 150 to 507 of the family's 1533-position model. The record is from RNAcentral.
AGAGAAAUUUGGAUUAAUACCUCAUAGUAUAGCAGUUUCGCAUGAAACCACUNUUAAAGUCACAACGGUGAAAGAUGAGCAUGCGUCCCAUUAGCUAGUUGGUAAGGUAACGGCUUACCAAGGCAACGAUGGGUAGGGGUCCUGAGAGGGAGAUCCCCCACACUGGUACUGAGACACGGACCAGACUCCUACCGGGAGGCAGCAGUGAGGAAUAUUGGACAAUGGGCGCAAGCCUGAUCCAGCCAUGCCGCGUGCAGGAUGACGGUCCUAUGGAUUGUAAACUGCUUUUUAUACAGGAAGAAACACUACUUCGUGAAGUAGCUUGACGGUACUGUAAGAAUAAGGAUCGGCUAACUCCGUG